RNAcentral lists this ribosomal RNA (440 nucleotides) under uncultured bacterium. RNAcentral's name for it is "partial 16S ribosomal RNA". It matches the Rfam family "Bacterial small subunit ribosomal RNA", at positions 338 to 795 of the family's 1533-position model. The record is from RNAcentral.
CCUACGGGAGGCAGCAGUGGGGAAUAUUGCACAAUGGGGGAAACCCUGAUGCAGCGACGCCGCGUGAGUGAAGAAGUAAUUCGUUAUGUAAAGCUCUAUCAGCAGGGAAGAAAAUGACGGUACCUGAGUAAGAAGCCCCGGCUAACUACGUGCCAGCAGCCGCGGUAAUACGUAGGGGGCAAGCGUUAUCCGGAUUUACUGGGUGGAAAGGGAGCGUAGACGGCAGUGCAAGUCUGGAGUGAAAGGCGGGGGCUCAACCCCCGGACUGCUCUGGAAACUGUACGGCUGGAGUGCAGGAGAGGUAAGUGGAAUUCCUGGUGUAGCGGUGAAAUGCGUAGAUAUUAGGAGGAACACCAGUGGCGAAGGCGGCUUACUGGACUGUAACUGACGUUGAGGCUCGAAAGCGUGGGGAGCAAACAGGAUUAGAUACCCCUGUAGUC